CUGCACACUGAAGACCCAUGUGUGCUUUAUAGCUCCCUUGGUUUUUAAUCUGUGCUACAGUAAAAUGCGGUCUGUAACCUCUGCAUUGGAGGAGCUGUUUUCUCCUCCAAAUGUAUUCAACAGACUAGUACAUUG
This is a small nucleolar RNA of Esox lucius (northern pike), 135 nucleotides long. Ensembl annotates it as small nucleolar RNA SNORA22. Its record names the gene SNORA22. NCBI's taxonomy places the organism in Eukaryota, Metazoa, Chordata, Actinopteri, Esociformes, Esocidae. The record is from Ensembl.